GACGAACGCUGGCGGCGUGCUUAACACAUGCAAGUCGAACGGAAAGGCCCUGCUUUUGUGGGGUGCUCGAGUGGCGAACGGGUGAGUAACACGUGAGUAACCUGCCCUUGACUUUGGGAUAACUUCAGGAAACUGGGGCUAAUACCGGAUAGGAGCUCCUGCUGCAUGGUGGGGGUUGGAAAGUUUCGGCGGUUGGGGAUGGACUCGCGGCUUAUCAGCUUGUUGGUGGGGUAGUGGCUUACCAAGGCUUUGACGGGUAGCCGGCCUGAGAGGGUGACCGGCCACAUUGGGACUGAGAGACGGCCCAGACUCCUACGGGAGGCAGCAGUGGGGAAUAUUGCACAAUGGGCGGAAGCCUGAUGCAGCAACGCCGCGUGCGGGAUGACGGCCUUUGGGUUGUAAACCGCUUUCGCCUGUGACGAAGCGUGAGUGACGGUAAUGGGUAAAGAAGCACCGGCUAACUACGU
This 467-nucleotide ribosomal RNA is filed under the name uncultured bacterium. RNAcentral's name for it is "partial 16S ribosomal RNA". It matches the Rfam family "Bacterial small subunit ribosomal RNA", at positions 28 to 506 of the family's 1533-position model. The record is from RNAcentral.